GAACGCCUUACCAUUACGGAGUGGCAGACCGGGUGAGUAACACGUGAGGAACAUGCCCCUCGGUUCGGAAUAACUCAGUGGAAACUUGAGCUAAUACCGGAUACGUCCAAUGCAACUUGGAUAAAGAUUAUCGCCGAUGGAUUGGCCCGCGUCUGAUUAGCUAGUUGGUGGGGUAACGGCUCACCAAGGCGACGAUCAGUAUCUGGUCUGAUAGGAUGAUCAGCCUCAUUGGGACUGAGACACGGCCCAAACUCCUACGGGAGGCAUCAGUGGGGAAUAUUGGACAAUGGGCGCAAGCCUGAUCCAGCCAUGCCGCGUGAGUGAUGAAUGCCCUAGGGUUGUAAAGCUCUUUUACCCGGUGAAGAUAAUGACGGUACCGGGAGAAUAAGCCCCGGCUAACUUCGUGCCAGCAGCCGCGGUAAU
This 423-nucleotide ribosomal RNA is filed under the name uncultured bacterium. RNAcentral's name for it is "bacterial SSU rRNA". It matches the Rfam family "Bacterial small subunit ribosomal RNA", at positions 64 to 524 of the family's 1533-position model. The record is from RNAcentral.